RNAcentral lists this ribosomal RNA (476 nucleotides) under uncultured anaerobic ammonium-oxidizing bacterium. RNAcentral describes it as "bacterial SSU rRNA". It matches the Rfam family "Bacterial small subunit ribosomal RNA", at positions 365 to 832 of the family's 1533-position model. The record is from RNAcentral.
UUCGCAAUGCCCGAAAGGGUGACGAAGCGACGCCGCGUGCGGGAAGAAGGCCUUCGGGUUGUAAACCGCUGUCGGGGGUUAGGAAAUGCAAGGAUGUUAAUAGCGUCUUUGCUUGACUAAGGCUCCGGAGGAAGCCACGGCUAACUCUGUGCCAGCAGCCGCGGUAAUACAGAGGCGGCAAGCGUUGUUCGGAAUUAUUGGGCGUAAAGAGCACGUAGGCGGCUGUGUAAGUCGGUUGUGAAAGCCUUCCGCUCAACGGGAGAACGGCAUCCGAUACUGCAUAGCUAGAGUGCGGGAGGGGAGAGUGGAACUUCUGGUGGAGCGGUGAAAUGCGUAGAUAUCAGAAGGAACGUCGGCGGCGAAAGCGACUCUCUGGCCUAUUACUGACACUGAGGUGCGAAAGUUAGGGGAGCAAACGGGAUUAGAUACCCCGGUAGUCCUAGCCGUAAACGAUGGGCACUAAGUAGAGGGGUUUU